UCGGGAAUUUUGGGCAAUGGGCGAAAGCCUGACCCAGCAACGCCGCGUGAAGGAUGAAGUCUUUCGGGAUGUAAACUUCGUAAGAAUAGGAAGAAUAAAUGACGGUACUAUUUGUAAGGUCCGGCUAACUACGUGCCAGCAGCCGCGGUAAUACGUAGGGACCAAGCGUUGUUCGGAUUUACUGGGCGUAAAGGGCGCGUAGGCGGCGUGUUAAGUCAGCUGUGAAAUCUCCAAGCUUAACUUGGAACGGUCAGCUGAUACUGAUGUGCUAGAGUGCGAGGAGGA
This 285-nucleotide ribosomal RNA is filed under the name uncultured bacterium. Its description in RNAcentral is "partial 16S ribosomal RNA". It matches the Rfam family "Bacterial small subunit ribosomal RNA", at positions 355 to 658 of the family's 1533-position model. The record is from RNAcentral.